This 444-nucleotide ribosomal RNA is filed under the name uncultured bacterium. Its description in RNAcentral is "partial 16S ribosomal RNA". It matches the Rfam family "Bacterial small subunit ribosomal RNA", at positions 354 to 796 of the family's 1533-position model. The record is from RNAcentral.
GUAGGGAAUAUUGGGCAAUGGUCGGAAGACUGACCCAGCCAUGCCGCGUGCAGGAAGACGGCCCUCUGGGUUGUAAACUGCUUUUAUCUGGGAAGAAAAAGGCCAUGCGUGGCAAAUUGCCGGUACCAGAUGAAUAAGCACCGGCUAACUCCGUGCCAGCAGCCGCGGUAAUACGGAGGGUGCGAGCGUUGUCCGGAUUUAUUGGGUUUAAAGGGUGCGUAGGGGGCUGAUUAAGUCAGCGGUGAAAGACUUCGGCUUAACCGGAGCAGUUCCGUUGAUACUGGUUGGCUUGAGUGUCGGAGGGGUACAUGGAAUUGAUGGUGUAGCGGUGAAAUGCAUAGAUACCAUCAGGAACACCGAUAGCGAAGGCAUUGUACUGGCCGACAACUGACGCUGAUGCACGAAAGUGUGGGGAUCGAACAGGAUUAGAUACCCCUGUAGUCC